AUGGAUGGAUGGACUCUGAGCUUUGUUCUGCUUCUGCCAUUAACUGUGUGUUAUGGCAGUGAAGUGACGCUUGUGAAAACUCUCGGCAGUGAACCAGAUGUGACUCCUCUCUGCACCGAUGACUCAAUGACCAUUAUCACACUUAUAAUGUGUAGGAUCAGCAGAGAGAGGAGCAGAGGAGAACAGUGUCAGCUGCUGUAUGAAUAUAAACAGGGCUUUGAACAUGGAUGUGGCUCCAGGUUCAAACUCAUAACAGAGAAUAAGACUGUGUUCCUCCACCUGAGCAGUUUAACAGCAGAGGACAGUGGGAACUACACCUGUCAGUGUUCACAUCUUGAUGGGACAUACAUUGUCCAUCUCAACAUCACAGUAGAAGAGGAGGAAAACUCCAACCAUUUGACACAACCAAUGAACCUUCAGAUCCUUCUUUAUGUUUUGCUUGGUGUAAUAUUUGUCACUAUUACAUCUGGUGUGCUCCUGAGAUUCCUUUACUACAGUAUAGUAAGACAGUGUUCAAAGUCAGCAACACCUGGAGCAUCUGCACAUGACUCUUUUAGCUGUGAGCACCAUGUUGACCCAGAAAACCUGUACACAAGCCUCCAGGAGCCGACAGCUGAUCUGUACCAGAGCGUCUCCUCUGUUAAACAACACGUCCCCUGGACGAACUCAGCUUUUAAUAAUCAGGAAGUGGACCGAGCUGAGACUGGUCCAGAUGAUGACCUCUAUGAAAACAUUGGUGAAGCUGAUUAAACUGUGUGAAACAUGGAUGGUCCUGAAUCACUGAGACAAAUGUCUUCUGGUGGGUGAUAACUGAACUCUGAGCAUCCUGUCAGAUGUUCAAUGUGAAGCCCUUCAGCUUAAUA
This 863-nucleotide long non-coding RNA is filed under the name Betta splendens (Siamese fighting fish). RNAcentral describes it as "lncRNA (ENSBSLG00000003917.1)". Lineage: Eukaryota; Metazoa; Chordata; Actinopteri; Anabantiformes; Osphronemidae. The record is from RNAcentral.